This 64-nucleotide transfer RNA is filed under the name Streptomyces carpaticus. Its description in RNAcentral is "tRNA-Met". It matches the Rfam family "tRNA", at positions 9 to 71 of the family's 71-position model. From Rfam's summary of the family: Transfer RNA (tRNA) molecules are approximately 80 nucleotides in length. Their secondary structure includes four short double-helical elements and three loops (D, anti-codon, and T loops). Lineage: Bacteria; Bacillati; Actinomycetota; Actinomycetes; Kitasatosporales; Streptomycetaceae. The record is from RNAcentral.
UGCUCAAGGUCCAAGCAUCGGACUCAUAAUCCGUCGGCCGUGGGUUCGAGUCCCACCCGCCCCA